This 398-nucleotide long non-coding RNA is filed under the name Macaca nemestrina (pig-tailed macaque). RNAcentral describes it as "lncRNA (ENSMNEG00000045595.1)". The record is from RNAcentral. Lineage: Eukaryota; Metazoa; Chordata; Mammalia; Primates; Cercopithecidae.
CCUAGGUGGCAGCAGAGCACUCCAGGAUUGGUGGAAGACUGUGGUUUGAGACCAGGGAAUCAGGGAAUUCAUUGAAAGGGUCUGAGACCACAGCCAUAAUCUGUGAAAGCCAAGAGGACGGCUAAGGACUAAGGAAUUGACAUUGAGCCCGAACUGGCAGAAGAGACUCAAGCCCCAAAUCGUGACAUGCACACAGAAAAAAGUGUGUGGGCCACUGACUUAGGAAGACUGCGUUUUCAGGGGAAAUAACCCAUGGGUGAGCGCUGUGGCCCAGACAAGAACUCAGACCUCGCUGAACUAGGGACUAAGCAGACUGCCACAUUUGGGAGCUCAUCUGGGAUUGUCAGAAGGGUGAGUCAGAGCAGACCUCUAACUCCUUACUUUCAUUUCUGAGGCUU